UGACAUCAGAUCUGUAAGUUUAUUUGCUCAAUGUACGACAGCUACAUAAUGACUCACAUUCAUGAUAUUCCAUCACUGACUAAAUAAAACAAAGAAACAAACAAAUCUGGUGUUGUUACCUAUCUCAGCAGUUCAUGCUAUUACUUGUAAAAAAGGCUGAACGCACAUGCAACAGGUCGUGUUUUCAGAAAGACUUAUCCAAAAUGAGAACGAAGGACCUAAGGCUGAUUGAAACAAACGUGUGGAAAGAGCGUGGUGGUUUCCAUCGAUUCUAAAACGUGCCAAGAUGGCACAAUCCAAUCUCCAACUUCUAUAUUUUCAUUAAAAGGAAAAAAUUAGAAAAAAUUGUGGUCAAAUAGGAGUUGAGGAUUUAUUAUCUGAUAAUGAUGCUAUUUUCCUACAACAAUUCUUUGGGGAAGGAGUGUUUUCACGGAGGAAAAACAGAUACACGAGGUUCCCAAAACUGGACAGAAUGUUCAUGGAGAGAGCUCUUCCUUCAGGAUUUUUCUACCAGUAAGCUCCUAGCACCUGAAUUUUCACACACUGCACCACGAACCUUCUCAAAAUGACCGCCAGCUUCUACAACCCAACAGCUUUUCAACCCAUCCGUGUGCAUGCUGUGGGAA
RNAcentral lists this long non-coding RNA (626 nucleotides) under Bos taurus (domestic cattle). Its description in RNAcentral is "long non-coding RNA NONBTAT015754". Lineage: Eukaryota; Metazoa; Chordata; Mammalia; Artiodactyla; Bovidae. The record is from RNAcentral.